GACGAACGCUGGCGGCGUGCUUAACACAUGCAAGUCGAACGGAAAGGCCCUGCUUUUGUGGGGUGCUCGAGUGGCGAACGGGUGAGUAACACGUGAGUAACCUGCCCUUGACUUUGGGAUAACUUCAGGAAACUGGGGCUAAUACCGGAUAGGAGCUCCUGCUGCAUGGUGGGGGUUGGAAAGUUUCGGCGGUUGGGGAUGGACUCGCGGCUUAUCAGCUUGUUGGUGGGGUAGUGGCUUACCAAGGCUUUGACGGGUAGCCGGCCUGAGAGGAUGACCGGCCACAUUGGGACUGAGAUACGGCCCAGACUCCUACGGGAGGCAGCAGUGGGGAAUAUUGCACAAUGGGCGGAAGCCUGAUGCAGCAACGCCGCGUGCGGGAUGACGGCCUUCGGGUUGUAAACCGCUUUCGCCUGUGACGAAGCGUGAGUGACGGUAAUGGGUAAAGAAGCACCGGCUAACUACGUGCCAGCAGCCGCGGUGAUACGUAGGGUGCGAGCGUUGUCCGGAUUUAUUGGGCGUAAAGGGCUCGUAGGUGGUUGAUCGCGUCGGAAGUGUAAUCUUGGGGCUUAACCCUGAGCGUGCUUUCGAUACGGGUUGACUUGAGGAAGGUAGGGGAGAAUGGAAUUCCUGGUGGAGCGAUGGAAUGCGCAGAUAUCAGGAGGAACACCAGUGGCGAAGGCGGUUCUCUGGGCCUUUCCUGACGCUGAGGAGCGAAAGCGUGGGGAGCGAACAGGCUUAGAUACCCUGGUAGUCCACGCUGUAAACGGUGGGUACUAGGUGUGGGGUCCAUUCCACGGGUUCCGUGCCGUAGCUAACGCUUUAAGUACCCCGCCUGGGGAGUACGGCCGCAAGGCUAAAACUCAAAGGAAUUGACGGGGCCCCGCACAAGCGGCGGAGCAUGCGGAUUAAUUCGAUGCAACGCGUAGAACCUUACCUGGGUUUGACAUGGAUCGGGAGUGCUCAGAGAUGGGUGUGCCUCUUUUGGGGUCGGUUCACAGGUGGUGCAUGGCUGUCGUCAGCUCGUGUCGUGAGAUGUUGGGUUAAGUCCCGCAACGAGCGCAACCCUUGUUCACUGUUGCCAGCACGUUAUGGUGGGGACUCAGUGGAGACCGCCGGGGUCAACUCGGAGGAAGGUGGGGAUGACGUCAAGUCAUCAUGCCCCUUAUGUCCAGGGCUUCACGCAUGCUACAAUGGCUGGUACAGAGAGUGGCGAGCCUGUGAGGGUGAGCGAAUCUCGGAAAGUCGGUCUCAGUUCGGAUUGGGGUCUGCAACUCGACCUCAUGAAGUCGGAGUCGCUAGUAAUCGCAGAUCAGCAACGCUGCGGUGAAUACGUUCCCGGGGCU
RNAcentral lists this ribosomal RNA (1346 nucleotides) under uncultured bacterium. RNAcentral's name for it is "partial 16S ribosomal RNA". It matches the Rfam family "Bacterial small subunit ribosomal RNA", at positions 28 to 1381 of the family's 1533-position model. The record is from RNAcentral.